CAUAGUGUGUAGCCUGCAAAGUAUGUCUGGCUCGCAACCACAGAAUGAAGAGGCACAUGUGUUUGUGUUUUUGUGCUCUCGUUUCAAAUGAUAUUGCCAUUAUAUGUACAUGCCAGUGAACUGCGAGGAGUCAGCAAUGGCUGUGCCCAGCACAGUGAAGCGAGAGAGCUACCGAUCGAGCCCAAGAAAAUUGACCAGACCUCUUCCAAUUCCGACCAUGUCAAUUGCUGUGCGGAGAAAAUUAGCACCUGCGCGUGAUACACCUAAUUGGGAUGGAACACACCCGAUUCCUGUCAGUCCGGGAGCACAUAACUAAGCAAGACAGAGACCAGGCAACUGAUUAGGUCAUCGUAGUUGAAGGUGGUGUACUGUAAUCAGACAUGUACUACAUUAGUUUAGUGUGUGUGCAAUAAUAUAAGAAAUUUGUGCAAUAUGUCAUGCUUAUAUAUGGCAAUGCAGCGAAAGCCAUACAUUGUUCUCAUUCUCA
Panicum virgatum (switchgrass) is the source of this 487-nucleotide long non-coding RNA. RefSeq lists it as uncharacterized. The transcript is spliced from 2 exons. Lineage: Eukaryota; Viridiplantae; Streptophyta; Magnoliopsida; Poales; Poaceae. The record is from RefSeq and is a predicted model, not a curated record.